UACGGAGGGGGCUAGCGUUGUUCGGAAUUACUGGGCGUAAAGCGCACGUAGGCGGCGAUUUAAGUCAGAGGUGAAAGCCCGGGGCUCAACCCCGGAAUAGCCUUUGAGACUGGAUUGCUAGAAUCUUGGAGAGGCGAGUGGAAUUCCGAGUGUAGAGGUGAAAGUUCGUAGAUAUUCGGAAGAACACCAGUGGCGAAGGCGACUUACUGGACACAUAUUGACGCUGAGGUGCGAAAGCGUGGGAGCAAACAGG
RNAcentral lists this ribosomal RNA (253 nucleotides) under uncultured bacterium. RNAcentral's name for it is "partial 16S ribosomal RNA". It matches the Rfam family "Bacterial small subunit ribosomal RNA", at positions 524 to 776 of the family's 1533-position model. The record is from RNAcentral.